Podarcis raffonei (Aeolian wall lizard) is the source of this 723-nucleotide long non-coding RNA. RefSeq lists it as uncharacterized. The transcript is spliced from 2 exons. Lineage: Eukaryota; Metazoa; Chordata; Lepidosauria; Squamata; Lacertidae. The record is from RefSeq and is a predicted model, not a curated record.
GGUUUCCCACUAUGGCUUGAACUAUUUCUAUAUUUCAACAUGCACUAUAUUGCUUUAGUCUGGAUCACCUCUCUACUUCUCCUUUCAUUCAUGAAGCAUGUACUGUACAACACAACCGCAAUGCAACUAGAAGGAUGACGCAUUCGCUUCCACCACACAGGCAAAAAAGAAGAAGAAGAAUUUUAUCCUGCUCUGACUUUGCGGAUGAUUAAUCCAAAUUGCCCUCCACAAUCCCAAAGGAGUCAAAUUAACAGAGAAAGAGAGGGAGAGACCUUGUGCAAGUUCUCCUAUUGAUUUCAACUGUUCAACUGAGCCUAGCUCCAUUUUCACACUGAGGGUCCCAAGAUAUUCCACUGUGCUAAUCAGUCAUGUAUUUAAUUGCUACUUACCUGCUACAGCAUCUGAGAUCCAUCACAGAAGCCUCUUUAAUUAGGGAUUAAAGAGGAAGCCAAAUACGAUAGCACACUGUUCCUGACAGGAAGGGUCGAAUACAGCCAUUGUUUGGAAACUGGCAAACAAUACCUACUAAAGAAUAACACAUACAGAACCAUGAGAAGUCUUGUCCUUAGUUUUGGUUGGGAAUUUUAAGAAACCAAAGAAGAAAGUCAAUGCAGUUUUGAAAUCAGUAGCGGAAAUCAGGGCAGUUUAGAAAUUUUCACUCCACCAAGUUGAUUCAAAACACUUUCCAGUUCUAUACAAACAUAAACAAAACCUGCUCCCUGA